CCUACGGGGGGCUGCAGUGGGGAAUAUUGGGCAAUGGGCGCAAGCCUGACCCAGCAACGCCGCGUGAAGGAAGACGGCUUUCGGGUUGUAAACUUCUUUUAAGAGGGAAGAGAAGAAGACGGUACCUCUUGAAUAAGCCACGGCUAACUACGUGCCAGCAGCCGCGGUAAUACGUAGGUGGCAAGCGUUGUCCGGAUUUACUGGGUGUAAAGGGCGUGCAGCCGGGCUGACAAGUCAGAUGUGAAAUCCCGCGGCUCAACCGCGGAACUGCAUUUGAAACUGUAAAGCUGGAGUACUGGAGAGGCAGGCGGAAUUCCUAGUGUAGCGGUGAAAUGCGUAGAUAUUAGGAGGAACACCAGUGGCGAAGGCGGCCUGCUGGACAGAAACUGACGUUGAGGCUCGAAAGCGUGGGGAGCAAACAGGAUUAGAUACCCGGGUAGUC
RNAcentral lists this ribosomal RNA (442 nucleotides) under uncultured bacterium. RNAcentral describes it as "partial 16S ribosomal RNA". It matches the Rfam family "Bacterial small subunit ribosomal RNA", at positions 338 to 795 of the family's 1533-position model. The record is from RNAcentral.